AAGUCGUAACAAGGUUUCCGUAGGUGAACCUGCGGAAGGAUCAUUACAAUACGUUACUUCACGUAUCAACCCAAACUGUUGAACUGUAAAAAGGCGUCCGAUAGGAAAGACAUUUUCAUGGGUUACGAGAGACUGGCGGCUUUGAAGUUGUGCACUUCGGUCGGUUUCUCUUUUUUGUUUCUGAGCAAUCGGAGCAAAAAGCCCCGUUUUUCCUAGUUCGCGUAUUUAUUUUUACAUUUUUUAACCCCUUUCACCAAACUAUUAUUUCAACAACCCAUUGAACUGAAUUCGAAGGAUGCUGAAAAGCGUCUAUUUCGAUUCUAUCUUUACGAAACGUAAGAACAACUCUUAACAACGGAUAUCUUGGCUCCC
This 372-nucleotide unclassified non-coding RNA is filed under the name fungal sp. Its description in RNAcentral is "partial internal transcribed spacer region". The stretch from base 1 to 46 matches the Rfam family "Eukaryotic small subunit ribosomal RNA", at positions 1786 to 1831 of the family's 1831-position model. The record is from RNAcentral. Lineage: Eukaryota; Fungi.